GACGAACGCUGGCGGCGUGCUUAACACAUGCAAGUCGAACGAAGAGCGACGGAAGCUUGCUUCUAUCAAUCUUAGUGGCGAACGGGUGAGUAACGCGUAAUCAACCUGCCCUUCAGAGGGGGACAACAGUUGGAAACGACUGCUAAUACCGCAUACGAUCUAAUCUCGGCAUCGAGGAUGGAUGAAAGGUGGCCUCUACAUGUAAGCUAUCACUGAAGGAGGGGAUUGCGUCUGAUUAGCUAGUUGGAGGGGUAACGGCCCACCAAGGCGAUGAUCAGUAGCCGGUCUGAGAGGAAGAACGGCCACAUUGGGACUGGGACACGGCCCAGACUCCUACGGGAGGCAGCAGUGGGGAAUCUUCCGAAAUGGACGAAAGUCUGACGGAGCAACGCCGCGUGAGUGAUGACGGCCUUCGGGUUGUAAAGCUCUGUUAAUCGGGACGAAAGGCCUUCUUGCGAAUAGGGAGAAGGAUUGACGGUACCGGAAGAGAAAGCCACGGCUAACUACGUG
RNAcentral lists this ribosomal RNA (510 nucleotides) under uncultured bacterium. Its description in RNAcentral is "partial 16S ribosomal RNA". It matches the Rfam family "Bacterial small subunit ribosomal RNA", at positions 28 to 507 of the family's 1533-position model. The record is from RNAcentral.